CCGAGCAAUUUAAUUAGAUAUCAUUUGGCGGUCGCCUUGGGAGGAUGCUGAUCUUUGGGUCCUGCGUAAUGGGCACCUAUGAAUCGUGUCAGGGCAGGAAUGCAGCAGCACUAAGUAGGGUGGUUCAUCUGACGUGGGGUCACCUGGAGGGAGUUUUCACAGGGCGGCUACCAAAUGGUAUCUAUAACGGCUCGG
RNAcentral lists this signal recognition particle RNA (195 nucleotides) under Pseudobutyrivibrio sp. RNAcentral's name for it is "signal recognition particle sRNA large type". It matches the Rfam family "Bacterial large signal recognition particle RNA". From Rfam's summary of the family: The signal recognition particle (SRP) is a universally conserved ribonucleoprotein involved in the co-translational targeting of proteins to membranes. Lineage: Bacteria; Bacillati; Bacillota; Clostridia; Lachnospirales; Lachnospiraceae. The record is from RNAcentral.